This is a non-coding RNA of Equus caballus (horse), 1952 nucleotides long. The record is from RefSeq and is a predicted model, not a curated record. NCBI's taxonomy places the organism in Eukaryota, Metazoa, Chordata, Mammalia, Perissodactyla, Equidae.
AGAAAGAGGAAGUUUGGCAACAGAUGUUAUCUCAGGGCCAAUCUCUCCUGAAAAAAACGAAAGACCCCAACAUUUCAAAGAUGGCCCAGGGAAGGGUCUGGACUUCCUGGGUGUGGAGAGGGGUUCAGACAAUUGACUGGGCUCUGAAGGGGCAGGGAGACAUGAGCUGGGGUCUACUUAACCCAAGCGGAGCUUUCACCCAGAAAGUGUGAUUGUAGGUCUGUCCCUCUGAGGCUCACACAGGUGGCCCCUCAGAAGCCUGAGUACUCUUUGAGUGUGUCAGGGGUUGAACUGUGUCCCCCAAAUUCAUAUGCUGAAGUCCCAACACCCAGCACCUCAGAUUGUGACCUUAAUAGUAGAUAGUGUCUUCACAGAGGGAAUGAAGUUAAAAUGAGGUCGUUAGGGUGGGCCCUAAUCCAAUACAACUGGUGUCCUUAUAAAAAGGGGAAAUCUGGACUCAGGUAUGUAUACAGGGAGAACGCCCUGCGCUCACGAAGACGACCACCUACAGGCCUACGAGAGAGGCCCGGAACACAUCGUCCCUCUCAGCCCUCGGAGGGAGCCAACUCUGCCAACACCUCGAUUUCCCCCUCGAGCCCCCAGAAGUUAAGAGAAGAGAUUCAUGUUUAGCCACCCAGUCUGUGGGUCUUUUCAUGGCAGCCCUGUGACCCCAGCACAGAGGGCAGGACAAUGGCUGUGCUGAGCUGCUUUGGCCCCGAGUUGAGUGUUAAGGAAGAGCUAGGUGGUGACGGGGCUGUGUGUAAGGCUAACCGUGUGGGGCUGACCAGGGCCUGGGGGGCUCCUACACAGGUGUCUCAGGAUUGUGAGGCCCUAGGAGGCCUAAGAGAGCCUGAUCUGAUGGGCCCACUUGGUCAGCAAGGCUUGCUUCAGUCCCUCCUGAGGGUCUUAUCCUGUCUCAGGGGCAGACAGGCAUCGUCACCAGCUGCCCCUGCAGGGGCCUAUGUGGCAGUCUACAUAGGUCCCAGGUCUGGGGGGCCCACCUCAGGGGUCCUCAGGUAGUGCUGCGUCCUGAGCUAGGAGCCACGACAGAACCUUCUCUGGACUUUGGAGCUGAGGGGGUCCCCUUUCAAGAGGCCUGGUGGGCAUUCCCAGUACCUGGACCCCCACCUGGCUGACUUCAUUCUCAGAAGCUCCAGGAGAUUCCCAACCUGCUUUCCCAAAUCUGGACUCUCCCUCUGCCCCUCCCUUGUCUCAGGCUGAUGGGGUGGGGGGAAGAGGCCCUUUACUGGGCUCGGAGAUUCCCACCCCAGCUCAGAGAGUGGAGGGGCCAUGGCCAGGGACCCCCAGCGGAAGGGACAUGUCCUCCCCUUCCAGGACACUCAGACCUCUGUCUCCUUGUCUUUUCUUCCUUCUUUGUCUUCCCUCUGACUCUUUCUCUGUCAGACAAACACGGACACAGACACAGACACACACACACACACAGACACACACACACACACACACACAGAGUCAGCCCUGCAUCCUGCCCUAGGGCAGGCUCCAUCUUCCACCCUCCAUCCUCCAGAGGAAGGCCCUUCCUUCCUCUGCUCUUACAUCAGCUGGACCUCCUGGAGCAGAAACCUCAGCUGGAGCUGUGUGCCGGGAGGCCCUGGGGGAGGCCACAGCCCCUGGAAUCCUGAGCUGCCAUGAGCUGCUGCAAGAAAGAAGCUUAUACACUCACCUGAAGCCCUGAUUUUUGCGACUGCUGACCAGGGGACACACCAGAUCACCUGUCUCUGGGGACCAGCAGUGCUUAUGCUUGUGUUCCCACAGAGAUCCCGAGUCCCGGAUAAGAGUUGGAGAACUGAAGAGUGCGGGGAUGUAGACAAUUUCUGUGAUAAAAUCAAAGGUCAACCCCAAGGAGAUGCACAGUAGGUCCAGACGGUCCUAGUACAUGUGGAGUUGCAGAUCCUUCUGACUGUGCCGUGUGGGACGCCGCCUCAGCAUGGCCU